CAGCAUUCUUAGAUCAUUCUCAGAUUCUGAGGAGGAGGAAAAGGAGUUGGCAGAUAGCCCUGAACUGUCAAGGUUUUCAAACAAGAUAACUCAGAUGCAUGAGCCACCCUGAUGGUUGGAGUCAAGACCUUUGAAGGACGGACAGAUGGAAGGAAGGAAUUGUUUCUGUUUGGAUUCAGCUCUUCAUAUGGAUGAUAGCUAGUGCCACUUAUAAUAGAGAAUAGUUAAUUUGAUUUGUGCUGCUUGUGAACCAGUUGAUCUCCAAUAAAUGAGUUUGAUUGUAAA
This is a long non-coding RNA of Varanus komodoensis (Komodo dragon), 285 nucleotides long. RefSeq lists it as uncharacterized. The transcript has 2 exons. Lineage: Eukaryota; Metazoa; Chordata; Lepidosauria; Squamata; Varanidae. The record is from RefSeq and is a predicted model, not a curated record.